RNAcentral lists this transfer RNA (72 nucleotides) under Ictidomys tridecemlineatus (thirteen-lined ground squirrel). RNAcentral's name for it is "Spermophilus tridecemlineatus (thirteen-lined ground squirrel) tRNA". It matches the Rfam family "tRNA". Rfam says of the family: Transfer RNA (tRNA) molecules are approximately 80 nucleotides in length. Their secondary structure includes four short double-helical elements and three loops (D, anti-codon, and T loops). The record is from Rfam by way of RNAcentral. Lineage: Eukaryota; Metazoa; Chordata; Mammalia; Rodentia; Sciuridae.
GGGGUUGUGGCUCAGUGGUAGAGUGCUUGCCUAGCAUGCAUGAGGCCCUGGGUUUGAUUUCCGGCAUCACAU